Molecule: ribosomal RNA, 253 nt
Filed under: uncultured bacterium
Lineage: Bacteria
Description: partial 16S ribosomal RNA
Rfam family: Bacterial small subunit ribosomal RNA
Source: RNAcentral
UACGUAGGGUCCGAGCGUUGUCCGGAAUCAUUGGGCGUAAAGAGCGUGUAGGCGGCCACUUAAGUCCUGCGUGAAAUCCUGCGGCUCAACCGCAGGCGGUCGUGGGAAACUGGGUGGCUAGAGUGCGGUAGAGGAUGGCGGAAUUCCCGGUGUAGCAGUGAAAUGCGUAGAGAUCGGGAGGAACAUCUGUGGCGAAGGCGGCCAUCUGGACCAGCACUGACACUGAGGCACGAAAGCGUGGGGAGCAAACAGG